RNAcentral lists this long non-coding RNA (2002 nucleotides) under Canis lupus familiaris (dog). Its description in RNAcentral is "lncRNA (ENSCAFG00000056203.1)". The record is from RNAcentral. Lineage: Eukaryota; Metazoa; Chordata; Mammalia; Carnivora; Canidae.
GCCUGCUUCUCCCUCUGCCUGUGUCUCUGCCUCUCUCUCUCUCUCUCUCCCCCCCCCCCCCCGUGUGACUAUCAUAAAUAAAUAAAAAUUAAAAAAAACUUUUUUUUUUUUUUUACUAAUUACUGAGUCUCUUAAAGUUUCUGCUCUUCUCUAAGGUUCUCCCCUCCUUUCUUAAGCAAGUUGGCAUUUGAAUGCAGGGAGAAGCGUUCAUUGCUCUUGUUGCUGUCCUUCCGGAGAAGUGUUUCAUGGGCUUGACUUCUGGGCCUCAAGCCUUACUCUUACUACAUCUGCGUGGUCAGUAAGCACCCUGUGCCAGGAUUUGCAAAGGUGUCAAUUUCUCUCUGUUCACAAGAAAUCUACACUCAGUUACCAUCUUACUCUUGAACCAGGUCAUUUUCAGUCCUGUAGUUCCAUCAGUACUUCGAACUCUUUAGGAGGACCUUGAAAUUCUCGACUGCUUUCUACUAUCCUGGAAUCAGAAUCCUGUGAAAACUGCCCUCUGGCCCAUAUACUUCAUUCCUCUUUCCAUUACUACUGUGCUGUGAGAGAUAUAGCACUUUUUCCCAAACAGGACUUUCUGAAAGGUUUUUGGUUUUUGCAGACUCUUCCACCACCCGCUGAAAAGCUAAGCACCAGCCUGAAGUUUUAAGGGUUACCUUUUAGCUUUUCUUAGGUUUUAUCUUGUUCUACCUCUAGUGUGAAAGGCAGGGAGACUGAAGGGAACUCAGUUUUUUUCCUCAGGACCCAGGCAGUGUCCUUAACCUAGACUCUUCCAUUCUGAAUCUCUGUAUCCCAACCUUCCUAAACCUGAAAGAGUUGGGAUUUCCUUUCCAAGAUAUCUGGAAUUAUGCUUCUCACUAUGAUUAUAAUAUAGUUAAUCCUCCAAAUUUUUUUUUCUUAUGUAAAACUCAGCUUUGGAAAUUCUCAGAAAAUCUUUAACCACUUGAAAGACUGCUUACAAGCUGUAGACUUAAAAAAGACAUCUACUUUCAGAGUGAAAGUUCAGCUUCCCUGUUCUAGGUAGCAUUCUUAGUAACAAGCUUCUGAGCUUAUGGCUAAAUUAACAAUAGUCGUAAUAGCAAGAGGAGGUGUUAGAGGGGUGGGUAGGGUUGGAGGUGGAGUAAAGAAAAGAGAAUAGCAUGAUUUUUAAAAACGGGGCACUGGAUAACAUUUAAGAAGCUACUAUAUUACCUCAAGUACUAAUUGGUAACACUUCAAGGGAAAAGAGUCUGAUUAUGAUCUUUUAGUACCAAUAGUACCCAACAGUUCAUAUAUAAGUUAAUUUUGUUCCUCAAAAAAGCAAGUUAAUCAGAAGUUUUCAGGAAUGAACUGUUUUCUAGGAUAUAAUAAAGAAAUAGUAGUGUUUUCUCAGUAAUUGUUCAUGACUCUGUGAUGAGUAAAAAAGAAAAAUAAGCAUGCCGAAAACUUGGACCUACUGCAUAUUUUUUAGUGUUGUGAAUAAAAUUUUACUGAUGAUAAAACACCACUAAGUAUAGUUUAGGGAUAGUAUUUAUACAAGAGAACAUCUUAUAAAUUAAUGUACAGUCCAUUACAGUCUGAUGAAAUAGUGAAUGCUUUUAUAAUUGUAUGGACUUGUAGAGCUAAAAUAUGACUAGUGAUGAGGCAAAAUAACCUCAUGUCUGAACUAGUGGACUUCCUGCAGAUCUUUGACAGCAAAAUAUAUUUCACUGAAAAUUAUGCCUUCAUAGUUGGGAGAAUACCAUUUUCACCCUAUGUGUGGUAAUGUGAUGGUAGUGUCUGAAAGCAGAAUCUGGGCCAAAUAGGUUAAUUAUAAAUGAAAGAUACUACUCUUUCACUACUCUAGGAUAUUAACUCAACUGAAGGCAUUUAUAAAUGUAGGACAUAUUUUCAAAUAGCUGAGUAUUUUAUUUUAACCAAAGAAUAUUUUUCUAUGGGCUAAAGAUUUGUUGAAACUCAACAAUCUGCCAGUUUUCUUUCACUACUAAUUAUUAGCUUUAAAAGAAACACACUGUUAGAAACU